Molecule: ribosomal RNA, 490 nt
Filed under: uncultured bacterium
Lineage: Bacteria
Description: partial 16S ribosomal RNA
Rfam family: Bacterial small subunit ribosomal RNA
Source: RNAcentral
GAUGAACGCUAGCGAUAGGCUUAACACAUGCAAGUCGAGGGGCAGCAUGGUCUUAGCUUGCUAAGGCUGAUGGCGACCGGCGCACGGGUGCGUAACGCGUAUGCAACUUGCCUCACAGAGGGGGAUAACCCGUCGAAAGACGGACUAAUACCGCGUACACUCUAUGUUGGGCAUCCAAUGUAGAGGAAAUGAAAUUCGCUGUGAGAUAGGCAUGCGUCCCAUUAGCUAGUUGGUGAGGUAACGGCUCACCAAGGCGACGAUGGGUAGGGGAACUGAGAGGUUGAACCCCCACACUGGUACUGAGACACGGACCAGACUCCUACGGGAGGCAGCAGUGAGGAAUAUUGGUCAAUGGGCGAGAGCCUGAACCAGCCAAGUCGCGUGAAGGAUGACUGUCUUAUGGAUUGUAAACUUCUUUUAGACGGGAAUAACAAGAGUCACGUGUGGCUCCCUGCAUGUACCGUAUGAAUAAGCAGCGGCUAACUCCGUG